AGCUUGCAUCAACAUGCCCAACAAGCGGGCUGCACGCGCCUCUCUAAUGGGACAGUGUGAGGUGCCACUGCGGUGAUUAUGAAGCAGCUCGACAUCUGGAGGUGGGGGCAUGUCAGCCCCACCCUGCAGCCUGAGCAGGGCCAGGCAACCUUUGCAAGAUGAGUGAAUGAAUGAAUUGGGAUGUCAUCCUGGGUGAAUAACAUAACUCCUAUAACUGCUCUGGUUUUGUUCUAUAAAUAGCCUGAACAGAAAAUUCUAGAUGCUGUUAUUCCUUGUGAAUUUCUGUGUCAGGGUUGAUGACAAUACAGAGGAUACCAGCUACUUUAUGGUCAAACACCCAUUCUUUAGAAAUCUGGAAAAUCUGUCCACCAGGAAAAUUCAGUUGGGUGAUACAAAGUUCUUAUUUUGCAAACCAGUUGAUCAUGGUGUAUCAGAGAAAGAUCAUAUUUAAGAGACAAACUGCAAUAGAAAUUCAAAUUUCUUACCAGGUGAAUGUGAUCAGGCCCUGGAGCCCAUUUCUUGUUGCCUCUUCCACCUC
RNAcentral lists this long non-coding RNA (538 nucleotides) under Homo sapiens (human). RNAcentral describes it as "HSALNT0010412". Lineage: Eukaryota; Metazoa; Chordata; Mammalia; Primates; Hominidae. The record is from RNAcentral.